This 116-nucleotide ribosomal RNA is filed under the name Anolis carolinensis (green anole). Lineage: Eukaryota; Metazoa; Chordata; Lepidosauria; Squamata; Anolidae. The record is from RNAcentral.
UCCUGAGCUAAAUAACCUGAAGGCACCCAAUCCCAUUUGAUCUUGGGAGCUAAGCAGGGUCAGCCUGGUUAAUGUUUUGAUGGGUGACUGCCAAUGAAUACCAGGUGUUGCAGACU